Molecule: ribosomal RNA, 253 nt
Filed under: uncultured bacterium
Lineage: Bacteria
Description: partial 16S ribosomal RNA
Rfam family: Bacterial small subunit ribosomal RNA
Source: RNAcentral
CACGUAGGGCGCAAGCGUUGUCCGGAAUUAUUGGGCGUAAAGAGCUCGUAGGCGGUCUGUUGCGUCCGCUGUGAAAACUCGGGGCUUAACCCCGAGCCUGCAGUGGAUACGGGCAGACUAGAGGUAGGUAGGGGAGAAUGGAAUUCCCGGUGUAGCGGUGAAAUGCGCAGAUAUCGGGAGGAACACCCGUGGCGAAGGCGGCCUGCUGGGCCGAUCCUGACGCUGAGGCGCGAAGGCGUGGGGAGCGAACGGG